Molecule: ribosomal RNA, 253 nt
Filed under: uncultured bacterium
Lineage: Bacteria
Description: partial 16S ribosomal RNA
Rfam family: Archaeal small subunit ribosomal RNA
Source: RNAcentral
UACCCGCAGCACAAGUGGUGGUCAUUAUUAUUGGGCCUAAAGCGUCCGUAGCUGGCUUGUUAGAUGCCUGGGUAAAUCGAUGCGCUCAACGCAUCGAACUCCGGGUAGACCGGCAAGCUUGGGACCGGGAGAGGCGUGAGCUACUCGAGGGGUAGGGGUAAAAUCCUGUAAUCCUUCGGGGAGGACCAGUGGCGGAGGCGUCACGCUAGAACGGCUCCGACAGUGAGGGACGAAGCCCUGGGGCGCAAACCGG